GCAGAGUGUGGACGGUUAUACUUUAUAAUCUUCACGAAGAUUGAAGAAGAAGUUUCCCAGAUCUAGCACCGGCGAUCUCUUCUAAUUGUUCAUAUAAUUCCUCUUGCAGCAGAAAAGUCGGAUCAGUUUCGCUCCAGUUUCUUAGGAUUCACAGAUCACACGGAUUCGUUUCCUACUUCUCAAAGGGCUUGGGAAUCUCUUAAGGCCGGCAACAUGUUCUGAUGAAAGGAUAAUGAAUUCUAAAGCACGCAAGUAGUACGCAAGAAGGAAAAACGGAUUGUGUUGUCUGAAAGUUACGUGGCCAAUCUUUCUCUUUAUCCGGGGAGAUCAAAGCUACCUUUCAGCCUGCAGGUGGUGAUUUUGUAGCGUGGUGAUAAAGGAUAAAAGAAUUCACAGUUAUUGGCGGUAACACGAUAAGCGGGUUCAGGUUUUCAGGACAAGUUUCACUUCUUUAUAUUGUUUGUAGCUUAAAAAGUAAUAGGACCACGUAAAAGAGUUAGUUUGGCUUAUCAUGUUUAGGCUAGAUGCGACAUCGGGAAGAUGUUUUAUUGGUUCAUCUGAUAUUUCCAAAUAAACAGAUCACAGUUGUAAGGAGAAAAUUCGUGACAAGCAUCGGUCAAGUCAAAGAACUUUAUCAAUGUGUGAUCAUUUGUUUACACUAAGGGGGAAUGUAAAAAUAGCUUCAAGAACACUUA
Molecule: long non-coding RNA, 695 nt
Organism: Brassica oleracea var. oleracea
Lineage: Eukaryota; Viridiplantae; Streptophyta; Magnoliopsida; Brassicales; Brassicaceae
Exons: 4
Source: RefSeq, a predicted model, not a curated record